CCUAGACAGAGGGAAACAAGAGCUAGACUACCUGCUCGUGAUCCCAGGAGGCUAAUGGAACACUGAUGUAUCACGGUUCCUGCCUUGUGAAUUUGGAAGCAGGAUUCUGCUCCUAGGCUCUUGAUGAAGAAAUGUUUAACAUCAGAGUAAGUAUUCUAGAGAUUAAUGGCUGCUGUUUGGAAAGGUCCAUAGACGUCCUUUCCUGCCAAUACAAAUAUAUACAUUGUUGAAGCACAAGACUAUAUCCACAGAUAGGAUUACAUGUUAACGGAAAAGAUUCAAGAAAGAGAAGAUGGGCCAUCAGUGAAAACUGUGGUUGCAAUGAAGCAACCGAUUUCACAGCUAAGGCAAGAACACUGCACUUCCUCCUCAUGCUUUCUGGUUGUUAAACUCCCACUGAGAAGCAUGAAAAAGGGCAAGAUGCACUUGAGGAGAUAAAGCAGACCUUUGAAGGGAAACCAAACAUCAGUUCAAGUUGUGACUUACAGACCAGAAAAGAUAUUCCAAGUUUUUGUGAAU
This 519-nucleotide non-coding RNA is filed under the name Pongo abelii (Sumatran orangutan). The record is from RNAcentral. Lineage: Eukaryota; Metazoa; Chordata; Mammalia; Primates; Hominidae.